AUGAACGCUGGCGGCGUGCCUAAUACAUGCAAGUCGCGCGAACAGACGAGGAGCUUGCUCCUCUGACGUUAGCGGCGGACGGGUGAGUAACACGUGGAUAACCUACCUAUAAGACUGGGAUAACUUCGGGAAACCGGAGCUAAUACCGGAUAAUAUAUUGAACCGCAUGGUUCAAUAGUGAAAGACGGUUUUGCUGUCACUUAUAUAUGGAUCCGCGCCGCAUUAGCUAGUUGGUAAGGUAACGGCUUACCAAGGCAACGAUGCGUAGCCGACCUGAGAGGGUGAUCGGCCACACUGGAACUGAGACACGGUCCAGACUCCUACGGGAGGCAGCAGUAGGGAAUCUUCCGCAAUGGGCGAAAGCCUGACGGAGCAACGCCGCGUGAGUGAUGAAGGUCUUCGGAUCGUAAAACUCUGUUAUUAGGGAAGAACAAAUGUGUAAGUAACUAUGCACGUCUUGACGGUACCUAAUCAGAAAGCCACGGCUAACUACGUG
Molecule: ribosomal RNA, 496 nt
Filed under: uncultured bacterium
Lineage: Bacteria
Description: partial 16S ribosomal RNA
Rfam family: Bacterial small subunit ribosomal RNA
Source: RNAcentral